GUUGAUUAUUGAUGGAAGUUGCAAUAUUGUGAAUACUUGAAGAAGUUGAGGGUGAUAGAGUAAAAUAUGCAUUUUCGAAAGAAAAAAAAAAUGAUGGCAUUUUGGUGAAUAAUCUGAACUUUGGAGGUGGAAGAGGCAAAUUAAAGUUUAAAAAAAAAAACAUGAGUUAAUUUUGUGUUUGAAUUCAAAUUUUGAGUCAUAUUUGCAAAAAACCCUUUGAUAAUUAUUUUUUUCUCAAAGUCAAUAAUUUUGACCCAUCUAAAUUUUUUUCUAAAUCAUAUAUACAAAUUUAAAUAUCUAUUACAUACAAACAUGUUUUAGAAAAAACAUAUUUUUUAUAAGGUUAAAUAUUAUAUAAAAAUUAAUAUAAAAAUAGUUAUCCCACAUUUUUAAAAAUCAGAUCUGAAUCUAGUCCAAUUCCAUUAAAAAACAACCAAAACCACACGGUCAAGUUACAAAAAAAAAAUGAAAAGAAAAACUAAACUGCUGACAUAAAUAUUAACUAGCAACCAUUACUUGCCUUUAAUGCAGUUUACACAUGAACCACGUUGGUUUAUGUACACCACCCAAAUGUCUUUUUGUCUUCUCAUUUUUCUUCGUUUUUGUUGUAUUAAUGAGCAUCACAAAAAUAUUUAUUUAUUUAUAUUCUUCCAGUUUUAAAUUUUUAUUCAACAAAAAUGCUGUAUAAAGUGGAAAAGGGAGUAAUUUUUUUUAUAGAAACAGAGCAAAUAAAAAAAAACAAAAAAACAGAGCAAAUCUCCACCUUUAUAUCGGUGGUUGGUAGCGAGCUUCAGUCCGAAAGUCGCCAACAGCUCCUCAAGUAUCUACGUAUGGGGACAUACUUGAGUUCCGCUCUUCUCAAAUGUGGUUUAAUAAUAAUGACUGAUUUUAGGCACAAUGGAUCAGUAUGAAAUUAUUUUUUCUUAGGGCGAAUUUAUAUAACGUGGCGGUGAAGAGAUGAGUGUUUUUUUUUCUUUUUGGUGUAAUGAAGAGAUGAGUGUUCCAUAUGGUUAAUGACUAAUGACAAAGAUUCUUAAAUUGGCUAAUUCAGCUUAAGAUGUCUACAGUCAAAUAGUAACAAGUCUACUAAAAUAGUAAUGAUGUAUUUAACUUAAAUCUAUACAAGAAAUUCAAAUACCACCUAAAACUACAUUGCCGACGCACGCACCAUAGUUAAGGUGAAUUAUAAGAAUCUGAUGGAG
This 1202-nucleotide long non-coding RNA is filed under the name Brassica rapa (field mustard). RNAcentral describes it as "long non-coding RNA (BRAP_LNC005024)". Lineage: Eukaryota; Viridiplantae; Streptophyta; Magnoliopsida; Brassicales; Brassicaceae. The record is from RNAcentral.